RNAcentral lists this ribosomal RNA (250 nucleotides) under uncultured bacterium. RNAcentral describes it as "partial 16S ribosomal RNA". It matches the Rfam family "Bacterial small subunit ribosomal RNA", at positions 524 to 773 of the family's 1533-position model. The record is from RNAcentral.
UACGUAGGGUGCAAGCGUUAAUCGGAAUUACUGGGCGUAAAGCGUGCGCAGGCGGUUCCGCAAGUCAGAUGUGAAAUCCCCGGGCUCAACCUGGGAACUGCAUUUGAAACUACGGAGCUAGAGUGUGUCAGAGGGGGGUAGAAUUCCACGUGUAGCAGUGAAAUGCGUAGAGAUGUGGAGGAAUACCGAUGGCGAAGGCAGCCCCCUGGGACAAUACUGACGCUCAUGCACGAAAGCGUGGGGAGCAAAC